This 848-nucleotide ribosomal RNA is filed under the name uncultured bacterium. Its description in RNAcentral is "bacterial SSU rRNA". It matches the Rfam family "Bacterial small subunit ribosomal RNA", at positions 28 to 878 of the family's 1533-position model. The record is from RNAcentral.
GAUGAACGCUGGCGGCGUGCCUAACACAUGCAAGUCGAGCGGACCAAUGCUCAUUUCAGCUUUACUGAUUUGAGCAUUGGUUAGCGGCGGACGGGUGAGUAACGCGUGGGCAACCUGCCCUGUGCAGGGGGAUAACACAGCGAAAGCUGUGCUAAUACCCCAUAAGACUACGCUAUCGCAUGAUAGAGUAGUCAAAGCUUUAGCGGCACAGGAUGGGCCCGCGUCUGAUUAGCUAGUUGGUGGGGUAACGGCCUACCAAGGCGACGAUCAGUAGCCGACCUGAGAGGGUGAUCGGCCACACUGGAACUGAGACACGGUUCAGACUCCUACGGGAGGCAGCAGUGGGGAAUAUUGCACAAUGGGGGAAACCCUGAUGCAGCAACGCCGCGUGAGCGAAGAAGGCCUUCGGGUCGUAAAGCUCUGUCCUAAGGGAAGAAGUAUGACGGUACCUUAGGAGGAAGCCCCGGCUAACUACGUGCCAGCAGCCGCGGUAAUACGUAGGGGGCGAGCGUUAUCCGGAAUCACUGGGCGUAAAGGGUGCGUAGGCGGCCGAGUAAGCCAGAGGUGAAAGGCUACGGCUUAACCGUAGUAAGCCUUUGGAACUACUUGGCUUGAGUGCAGGAGAGGAGAGUGGAAUUCCUAGUGUAGCGGUGAAAUGCGUAGAUAUUAUGAGGAACACCAGUGGCGAAGGCGACUCUCUGGACUGUAACUGACGCUGAGGCACGAAAGCGUGGGGGAGCUAACAGGAUUAGAUACCCUGGUAGUCCACGCCGUAAACGAUGAGUGCUAGGUGUCGGGGGUUCACACCCUCGGUGCCAGAGUUAACGCAAUAAUCACUCCGCCUGGGG